Molecule: ribosomal RNA, 497 nt
Filed under: uncultured bacterium
Lineage: Bacteria
Description: partial 16S ribosomal RNA
Rfam family: Bacterial small subunit ribosomal RNA
Source: RNAcentral
GAUGAACGCUGGCGGCGUGCCUAAUACAUGCCAGUCGAGCGAACGGACGAGAAGCUUGCUUCUCUGAUGUUAGCGGCGGACGGGUGAGUAACACGUGGAUAACCUACCUAUAAGACUGGGAUAACUUCGGGAAACCGUAGCUAAUACCGGAUAAUAUUUUGAACCGCAUGGUUCAAAAGUGAAAGACGGUCUUGCUGUCACUUAUAGAUGGAUCCGCGCUGCAUUAGCUAGUUGGUAAGGUAACGGCUUACCAAGGCAACGAUGCAUAGCCGACCUGUGAGGGUGAUAGGCCACACUGGAACUGAGACACGGUCCAGACUCCUACGGGAGGCAGCAGUAGGGAAUCUUCCGCAAUGGGCGAAAGCCUGACGGAGCAACGCCGCGUGAGUGAUGAAGGUCUUCGGAUCGUAAAACUCUGUUAUUAGGGAAGAACAUAUGUGUAAGUAACUGUGCACAUCUUGACGGUACCUAAUCAGAAAGCCACGGCUAACUACGUG